RNAcentral lists this small RNA (120 nucleotides) under Pseudomonas sp. 9Ag. RNAcentral describes it as "rpsL_psuedo". It matches the Rfam family "Pseudomonas rpsL leader". The record is from RNAcentral. Lineage: Bacteria; Pseudomonadati; Pseudomonadota; Gammaproteobacteria; Pseudomonadales; Pseudomonadaceae.
AGUCGGGGCGCGCCUUGACGGUGGACAGGAAGCUCUUUAGACUCUUGUACCCCUAAUUUGGCGGGGCCUUGCGCUCUGCCAUUUUCGUUUGUGUCGAAAGACAACAGUGGAGCUAGUAGA